GCUAUAUACAGGGGUACAGGUUAGUAAUGAGGCUAUAUACAGGGGGUACAGGUUAGUAAUGAGACUAUAUGCAGGGGGUACCGGUUAGUAAUGAGACUAUAUGCAGGGGGUACCGGUUAGUAAUGAGGCUAUAUACAGGGGGUACAGGUUAGUAAUGAGACUAUAUACAGGGGGUACCGGUUAGUAAUGAGACUAUAUACAGGGGGUACAGGUUAGUAAUGAGACUAUAUACAGGGAGUACAGGUUAGUAAUGAGACUAUAUACAGGGAGUACAGGUUAGUAAUGAGACUAUAUACAGGGAGUACAGGUUAGUAAUGAGACUAUAUACAGGGGGUACAGGUUAGUAAUGAGACUAUAUACAGGGGGUACAGGUUAGUAAUGAGACUAUAUACAGGGGGUACAGGUUAGUAAUGAGACUAUAUACAGGGGGUACAGGUUAGUAAUGAGACUAUAUACAGGGGGUACAGGUUAGUAAUGAGACUAUAUACAGGGAGUACAGGUUAGUAAUGAGACUAUAUACAGGGAGUACAGGUUAGUAAUGAGACUAUAUACAGGGGGUACAGGUUAGUAAUGAGACUAUAUACAGGGGGUACCGGUUAGUAAUGAGACUAUAUACAGGGGGUACAGGUUAGUAAUGAGACUAUAUACAGGGGGUACAGGUUAGUAAUGAGACUAUAUACAGGGAGUACAGGUUAGUAAUGAGACUAUAUACAGGGAGUACAGGUUAGUAAUGAGACUAUAUACAGGGAGUACAGGUUAGUAAUGAGACUAUAUACAGGGAGUACAGGUUAGUAAUGAGACUAUAUACAGGGAGUACAGGUUAGUAAUGAGACUAUAUACAGGGAGUACAGGUUAGUAAUGAGACUAUAUACAGGGGGUACAGGUUAGUAAUGAGACUAUAUACAGGGAGUACAGGUUAGUAAUGAGACUAUAUACAGGGGGUACAGGUUAGUAAUGAGACUAUAUACAGGGGGUACAGGUUAGUAAUGAGACUAUAUACAGGGGGUACCGGUUAGUAAUGAGACUAUAUACAGGGGGUACAGGUUAGUAAUGAGACUAUAUACAGGGAGUACAGGUUAGUAAUGAGACUAUAUACAGGGAGUACAGGUUAGUAAUGAGACUAUAUACAGGGGGUACAGGUUAGUAAUGAGACUAUAUACAGGGGGUACAGGUUAGUAAUGAGACUAUAUACAGGGAGUACAGGUUAGUAAUGAGACUAUAUACAGGGGGUACAGGUUAGUGAUGAGACUAUAUACAGGCUACUAUUAUAAUUAUUUUGGUGGGUUUGUUUUAAUAAAUAAAUGUGUGACACAAUAGGAAGUGUAGAACACCAUUGUCCAUCUAAUAACUUUCAAAAGAUUGUUCCGAAGUUUGCCCCCAAUAAAUACAUUUUCCUACAAAUUAAGUCGCAUAAAAGUGUCUUCACACGAAUUAAGCCACACAAAACUCACGAAAUCUGCUGAAAUACUGUUUGUACAUAUGUGCACAAAUUGACUGUGAGAUUGUGUUGCAACAACCUGUCACAAGACAAAUUUAACCAUGAUCUGAUGAUAGGUCUACAUGCAUUGUGAACUGCACUCCAUACUGAAAUGCACUGUCUGUCCCCAUCCUGAGCGUUGAUUGAUCAUGCAGGUAGCAAAUCAAAUGUAUUUAUAUAGCCCUUCGUACAUCAGCUGAUAUCUCAAAGUGCUGUACAGAAACCCAGCCUAAAACCCCAAACAGCAAGCAAUGCAGGUGUAGAAGCACGGUGGCUAGGAAAACCAGAGAAGAGAAGCCAGAUUUAGACAUAUCAUUUAACAGUUCCAUAUUACAUCAUGCUGUUCAUAUAAAUAAUGUAUUAUAA
Oncorhynchus keta (chum salmon) is the source of this 1843-nucleotide long non-coding RNA. RefSeq lists it as uncharacterized. The transcript has 7 exons. NCBI's taxonomy places the organism in Eukaryota, Metazoa, Chordata, Actinopteri, Salmoniformes, Salmonidae. The record is from RefSeq and is a predicted model, not a curated record.